AGCUCAGCUGGGAGAGCACCUGCUUUGCAAGCAGGGGGUCGUCGGUUCGAUCCCCACA
This 58-nucleotide transfer RNA is filed under the name Stenotrophomonas maltophilia. RNAcentral describes it as "tRNA-Ala". It matches the Rfam family "tRNA", at positions 9 to 63 of the family's 71-position model. Rfam says of the family: Transfer RNA (tRNA) molecules are approximately 80 nucleotides in length. Their secondary structure includes four short double-helical elements and three loops (D, anti-codon, and T loops). Further hydrogen bonds mediate the characteristic L-shaped molecular structure. tRNAs have two regions of fundamental functional importance: the anti-codon, which is responsible for specific mRNA codon recognition, and the 3' end, to which the tRNAs corresponding amino acid is attached (by aminoacyl-tRNA synthetases). tRNAs cope with the degeneracy of the genetic code in two manners: having more than one tRNA (with a specific anti-codon) for a particular amino acid; and 'wobble' base-pairing, i.e. permitting non-standard base-pairing at the 3rd anti-codon position. Lineage: Bacteria; Pseudomonadati; Pseudomonadota; Gammaproteobacteria; Lysobacterales; Lysobacteraceae. The record is from RNAcentral.